AUGGAGGGAAUGUUACUUACCAUUGGGGUCGUUCAUCCAGUUCUUCUCGGGCUGGAAGUGGAAGCCGGUGCGCUGCCACUGGAGCAUGGCAUUGCUCCACGGGAACGCGUUGCCGCCGGCGUCCGCGCGCAGCAUGCCGCCGCGCGCGCCGGCGCCGGACGUCUUCUCCGAGACUCCAGACUCAGGCCCCCGGCUGCUGGCGCUCAUCGGCGCCGUGUCGACCGUCGUCUGGUGGCCAGACAUGACGACGAUGCCACCCGCGGGCAGCUGGCCGGCGAUCUGACGCCGGCGAGCGCGGCUACCACUAGGAGCACGGCUGCCGUCGCCAGCAGCAGGGCGGCACAGAGCGGGCCAGCAGUCCGGCGCGCACGCCCCACCGUGGCGGCGGCCUCGGCAUCCUCCGGCAGCGGCGCGUAG
RNAcentral lists this ribosomal RNA (417 nucleotides) under Triticum aestivum (bread wheat). RNAcentral describes it as "partial small subunit ribosomal RNA". The record is from RNAcentral. Lineage: Eukaryota; Viridiplantae; Streptophyta; Magnoliopsida; Poales; Poaceae.